Long non-coding RNA from Nyctereutes procyonoides (raccoon dog), 601 nucleotides. RefSeq lists it as uncharacterized. The transcript is spliced from 4 exons. Lineage: Eukaryota; Metazoa; Chordata; Mammalia; Carnivora; Canidae. The record is from RefSeq and is a predicted model, not a curated record.
GGGAACUCCAUUAACAAAAAAACAAAAAUGCAGCGGGUGCCUACUACGGACAAAGCAUUCUAUCCAUCAGGCCGGGAAAUGAACAAGAACAGAGCUCUCUUUCCCACGAGAGGGCAAGUUUUCCAACAAGUGGGUAUGAUCGUGAGGAGAAUUUCGUGUUUCCACGUCUACCUCGCCAACAGGCUUCGCAAGCCACACUCCCAGGAACAAGUCGGCCCGUGGCCAUGCCCUACCUAGUUCGUGUCCCGAUUUGUUUGACCGACUUACAUCACAGUUCUCAAAGGAAACAAAAUGCAGAAGGACUUCAGUACUGAGUGGAAUAGGAGUGAUGAGAGUGGGCUUCCCUGUCUUGUUCCUGAUCUUAGAGGAAAAGCUUUCAACCUUUCUCCACUGAAAUGAUGUUAGCUGAACUUUCCAAACCUGUUGAUGACCUUGAAAUUGGCCUUGAGAGGAGUAUCUGCACCAUGGAACCUGAUGUCAACAUGUAAGAAGACAAUGAGGAACAUGGGAACCGUUCCCUGGAUUGAGGUUGAAUUCUGUGCCAUCGACGCUCCUUCUCCUUCAAGACAUUCUGACGUCAAUGAAUAUUUUGCUUCUGGGA